Molecule: ribosomal RNA, 2045 nt
Filed under: Plasmodium falciparum MaliPS096_E11
Lineage: Eukaryota; Apicomplexa; Aconoidasida; Haemosporida; Plasmodiidae
Description: 18S ribosomal RNA
Rfam family: Eukaryotic small subunit ribosomal RNA
Source: RNAcentral
AACAGUUAUAAUCUACUUGAUGUUUUUAAUAUAAGGAUAACUACGGAAAAUCUGUAGCUAAUACUUGUGAAAAUACCUUUUGAUAUAUACAUAUGUAUGUAUCAUUAAGGUAUGUAUUUGUUAGAUAUAAGAAUAAAAUAAAUAUAAUUGAAUUAUAACAAAGAAGAAACACAUAAAAUAUGUGUAUUAUCAAUCGAGUAUCUGACCUAUCAGCUUUUGAUGUUAGGGUAUUGACCUAACAUGGCUAUGACGGGUAACGGGGAAUUAGAGUUCGAUUCCGGAGAGGGAGCCUGAGAAAUAGCUACCACAUCUAAGGAAGGCAGCAGGCGCGUAAAUUACCCAAUUCUAAAAAAGAGAGGUAGUGACAAGAAAUAACAAUACAAUAUCGAAAAAUGAUUUUGUAAUUGGAAUGAUAGGAAUUUACAAGGUUCCUAGAGAAACAAUUGGAGGGCAAGUCUGGUGCCAGCAGCCGCGGUAAUUCCAGCUCCAAUAGCAUAUAUUAAAAUUGUUGCAGUUAAAACGUUCGUAGUUGAAUAUUAAAGAAUCCGAUGUUUCAUUUAAACUGGUUUGGGAAAACCAAAUAUAUUAUAUAUUUUGCUUUGUUCAAAAUAAGGUUUUCUAAUAAAUUAUGUUUUUAUCAGAUAUGACAGAAUCUUUUUUAAAAUCUCUUCAAUAUGCUUUUAUUGCUUUUGAGAGGUUUUGUUACUUUGAGUAAAAUUAAGUGUUCAUAACAGACGGGUAGUCAUGAUUGAGUUCAUUGUGUUUGAAUACUACAGCAUGGAAUAACAAAUAUGAAUAAGCUAAUUAUUUUUUUUUUUUCAUUAUUUUUUUUGAUAUUCUUAUUAGCUUAGUUACGAUUAAUAGGAGUAGCUUUGGGGGCAUUCGUAUUCAGAUGUCAGAGGUGAAAUUCUAAGAUUUUCUGGAGACGGACUACUGCGAAAGCAUUUGCCUAAUCUAUUUCCAUUAAUCAAGAACGAAAGUUAAGGGAGUGAAGACGAUCAGAUACCGUCGUAAUCUUAACCAUAAACUAUACCGACUAGGUGUUGGAUGAAUAUAAAAAAUAUAUAAAUAUGUAGCAUUUCUUAGGGAAUGUUGAUUUUAUAUUAGAAUUGCUUCCUUCAGUACCUUAUGAGAAAUCAAAGUCUUUGGGUUCUGGGGCGAGUAUUCGCGCAAGCGAGAAAGUUAAAAGAAUUGACGGAAGGGCACCACCAGGCGUGGAGCUUGCGGCUUAAUUUGACUCAACACGGGAAAACUCACUAGUUUAAGACAAGAGUAGGAUUGACAGAUUAAUAGCUCUUUCUUGAUUUCUUGGAUGGUGAUGCAUGGCCGUUUUUAGUUCGUGAAUAUGAUUUGUCUGGUUAAUUCCGAUAACGAACGAGAUCUUAACCUGCUAAUUAGCGGUAAGUACACUAUAUUUUUAUUUGAAAUUGAAUAUAGGUAAUUAUACAUGUUUAUUCAGUGUUCAAAUUAGGAUAUUUUUUUAUUAAAAUAUUCUUUUCCCUGUUCUACUAUAAUAAUUUGUUUUUUUUUACUCUAUUUCUCUCUUCUUUUAAGAAUGUACUUGUUUGAUUAAAUAAAGCUUCUUAGAGGAACAGUGUGUAUCUAACACAAGGAAGUUUAAGGCAACAACAGGUCUGUGAUGUCCUUAGAUAAACUAGGCUGCACGCGUGCUACAAUGAUAUAUAUAACAAGUUGUUAAAAAUGUACUUAUAAAUAAGUGUGUACAGUUUUUCCUGUACUGAAAAGUAUAGGUAAUCUUUAUCAGUAUAUAUCGUAAUUGGGAUAGAUUAUUGCAAUUAUUAAUCUUGAACGAGGAAUGCCUAGUAAGCAUGAUUCAUUAGAUUGUGCUGACUACGUCCCUGCCCUUUGUACACACCGCCCGUCGCUCCUACCGAUUGAAAGAUAUGAUAAAUUGUUUGGAUAUGAAUUAAAAUAAUGAAAUUUUAUAUUUCUGAUUUUUUCUAGAAGAACUGUAAAUCCUAUCUUUUAAAGGAAGGAGAAGUCGUAACAAGGUUUCCGUAGGUGAACCUGCGGAAGGAUCAUUA